UUUUGUUUUGUUUCUACCUUGCCGUAGGCUAUUUGUGUUUUUCUCCUCUUUUUUUUUAUGACUUUGUUUGAUGUGUUUAUGCAGCCGCCAUAUCCUAUCCUUCGCAUCUUUGGUGAGAAGGAUAGGGUACGCUGGGUGUCGGAGGUUUCCGAGGAUUUUGCUGAGCCUUUUCUCCAUGGAUAUCCGGUGGUUCGAAAGCUUCGUAAUACGUUUUGGUUUUAUCCUUCGUAAUACGUUUUGGUUUUGAAGUUGUUAUUUUGUGCGCAGGUUGUGAGGUCUGCUCCGUUGGAAGAUCUUCCUUCGAAUUUUGUCGAAGGAAGUUACGUUACCCCGGUGACGUUCAAGCGUGGAGAUCUGUAUGCGAGGGGUUAUCUAGUUGACUGGUGGCGCCAUAAGUAUCCUACGCGUAGUAUUGAUGACUUAGUUGAUUUCCUUGUUCGUGAUUACUGCGAUGAUCUUAGGCUUUUUCCAGAUUCGUAUGUUAGAAUUGUGCGAGGGUCUUAGAACCUUCGACGUUUUACGGUCGGAGGAUGUUUCUCGUUUUUUGUUGUAAGCUUCUGUUAUGUACAUUGUAUAUGGUUAAUAAAGAUCAGACAUUUUUACCACAUGGUCUCAGCUACCUAUAACCUUCGACUUUUUAUGGGUCGAAGGAUGAUUUUAUUCUUUACUUGUAAACGUUCUUUUGUAAUGAUUUCUUCAUCAAUAAUAAAGUUUUUAAGUUUGCUACAACCUUCGAUCUCAUUUUUAUUACAACCUUCGCGCUACAGCAUUGCAACGUCACGGUGGUGUUGAUCCUAAGGAUCUUUGUGUUGCUGUGGCUUGCUUGUUCUUGAUGCUUGAUGUUGCGAAGGUGUUGUUGAUUUUUUCUUGCGCGGAGGAUCGCCGCUUCUUGGCCUUAGAACCUUCGACUUUUUUGGCGCGAAGGAUCCUUCGCUGAAUUGUGCUGUUUUUUUCCUUUGCUCGACUCCCGUGGAUUGUUGUCGAGGAGAACCUUCGGCUAUCUGAGUCGGAGGUUCUGAAGGGACGUUACGAGACUUCGUGCGAUACCCUUCAGAGACCUCUGAGUCUGACUUCCAUUGUUUCUGUUGUGGCUGUACACGACUUUGUGGUCGAUGUUCAUCACAACGCCGGAGUUCUAGUAUUACGAAGCUUCGUGCGAUACAAACUUUUGUUGGUGUUGUGAGGCUAACUCCUGCUUCCAUGGUGGCCUAGGAUUUUUGCUUUUUGACUGCUAGGUUUGCACUCGAUGCUCGGGUCUUUGUAUACUGAUCCUGAUUGAGGGUGGGGGUAGGGUGAGCCUGGUUUUAUAGGCUUUCGUGCAUUUAUUUUUUGUACUUAGUUAGGUUAAAAUUUAUUGUCGGGUUAUUGAUGGUUGUUGUGGUAGUUGGUUUUGCUGUACCUGACUGAGGGUUGUUCUAGUUUCGUUUUAAUUUCACACUUUGUUUGUUGGGGGUCUGCUUAGAGUAGCAGGAUACCUUCGACCUUAUUUUGGUGAAGGUUAUGUGAAUUUUAUUGAGGUCUGUCUUGUGAAUGUUAAACCUCCGCCGCCUUUUGGCGAAAAUAAUAUAGUUCCUGAUGCCUGAUUCUCCUCAGGUCUUUGUCAGGUUUGAAGGUUUUGUUCCUUCUGGCCAUGUUGUGAUGCCUGAGGAGGACAGGACUUUUUCACUUUUUGGCCAUGUUAUCCUUGCUGCCCGGCUCUUGGCUAGGUCUUUUGCUAAGGAUUUGGUGUUUUUUCACCUUUGAGGACGUUCCGAGCUUUCUUAGCUUUUGGAUGAAAGCUGCGGAGGGUCCUUGUGAUCACGUGAUGUUUUGUCGAAUGCUACAGCCUCGUUGCUGGCUGUUUUUCGACUUUUUGGGCUUUGGUUCUGGGGUGGAUUCCUCUUUAUAUCUCAGAGGUUUUUACAUAGGUUCUGCCUCGUUAAAAACCUCACCUCCUGGUAGGAGUACCCCUGUGAGGAAAAGAGUGCAGACCUUGGAAUGCGAAAAAGUAGAGAAAAAGAAAACGAGCGUAUUUAGGGAUGUGGAUGCCGCCGCUUAUUUUGCGGGGGUCAUCCUUACACUCAAAUGUAAAAUCUACGUAGAUUGUCGAUGUUCCACGUGUGGGUGGAGGUUCUUCCUUCGAGGUCUCUUAGGUAGAAGGAUCCCGACCUUCCCGCUUGUAUUGCUGUAUAAGGUCCUUCCCACUUGGGUUGCAAUUUACCAGCGUUUGGGUGAUCUCCUUUUUUCCUGAGCACCAGGUCCCCAUUUUGUAUGUCUUUUCGUACUACCUUGCGGUCUCUCCAAUUCUUGGUUUCUUGUUGAUACCUGGUGAUGUUCUCCACUGCCUCAAGUCUUAUUGAUUCUAAGGUUUCCUUGUAGUACUCUUCAUCUUCAGCCAACUGCUGCUUCAUGGAACGUAGGCUUUGGUGUUUGAUUUCUUCGGGCAACAUUGCCUCUUCCCCAUACAAGAGCUUGAAUGGGGUGAACCCAGUUGUUCUUGAAACUGUUGUGUUAUGUGACCAUACAACUCUUGGUAGUUCUUCAACCCAUUUUCCCUUGCGUAGGUUGAGUAAGGUCUUGGAGAUUGCGGAGAAUAUUGUUCUGUUUGCUCUCUCCACGGCCCCGUUUGACUCUGGGUGAUAAACAGACGCGAAAGCAAUUUUGGUUCCUAUGUGAUGGCAGAAUUCCUUGAAACUGUCUGAAUCAAACUGCUUCCCGUUGUUGACUGUGAGCAAGCGUGGAACUCCGAAUCUGCACACUAUGUUCUGCCAGAAAAAUUUUCUGAUUGUUUCAGAGGUUAUGGUUGCCAGUGGCUUAGCUUCGAUCCAUCUUGUGAAGUAUUCGAUGGCCACGACGGCGAAUUUGUUUCCCCCCUGGGCAGUUGGCAUUGGGCCUACCAGGUCCAUUCCCCAUCUCUGCAACGGCCAUGAUGCUGGUAUGAGCUGAGUUAGUGCUGAAGGUCCUGACUGAAUUGGUGAGAAGGUUUGGCAGGCUUUGCAUGUCUUCACUAUUUCUUCAGCAUCUUUAAUGUGAGUUGGCCAGUAGAAGCCUUGUCUUAAUGCUUUAGCAGACAACGCGCGAGGUCCAAUGUGAGACCCGCACAUCCUGGAGUGUAUCUCUUGUAGGAGUUCUCUGCCCUCGCUUUGUGAUAUGCAUCUCAGCAAAGGUUGGACUACGCCUUUCUUGUACAGGAUCCCGUCAAUGGAGGUGUAAUUCCUCGAUCUUGCCUCCAUCCUCUUGGCUGUUGCUUCGUCGUCUACAGCUGUCUCGCCUUUGAGGCAAUCAGCUAUUGCCUGCCUCCAAUCUUCGCUUUCUGUCAGCAGGACUGAGCGAAAGGCUUUUGGCAACGAUUCGGUCGCGGGUGUUGCAACAAUCUGGUGGAAGGUUCCUUCUGGCAAGGGGUUGUUGUUGGCUGUUGCUUUCGCUAGCUCGUCUGCCUCGUAGUUUUCGGCUCUUGGAAUGUACUGCAGAGUGAAUCCCUUGAACCUUCUCUCCAGGCCUCUUACGACGGCCAGAUAUUUUGCCAGCUCCGGGUUGUGUGCUAGGUAUUCCUUCUCCACUUGCCCUGCCACCACCUGGGAGUCUGUUUUGAUGAGUAGGGUUUUUGCUCCCGAAGCCUUAGCUUUGUUCAGCCCGAGGAUGAGACCUUCAUACUCGGCUAUGUUGUUUGUUGCUUUGAAUUCGAGUCGUACAGCAAACUUUAGUUUGAGUCCAGAUGGUGCGAUUAGGACGGCUGCUGCUCCUGCUCCCGCUUGACCCCAGGCGCCAUCUGUAUACAGCGUCCACGGCUGAUCGACUACCUUCUCCUUUUCUUUGUUCGAAGGUGUCCAAUCUGCCAUGAAGUCAGCCAGGGCUUGAGAUUUGAUGGAGGUUCUGGGGACAUAGGUGAUAUCAAAUUGUGACAGUUCGGCCGCCCAUUUUCCUAUACGUCCGGAAGCCUCUUUGUUCCUAAGGAUAUCACUCAAUGGCUGUGAAGUGGGCACUUUAAUCUCAUGGCUUUGGAAGUAAUGCUUGAGCUUCCUCGAUGCACACAGGACCGCGUACGCGAUUUUUUCUAUCUCCGUAUAGUUCAGCUUUGCUCCUGACAGAGCUUCAGAUACGUAGUAAACGGGUCUUUGCACCGUUCCCUUACUGUCGCUUGUCUCGUGCACCAGGACACCACUGACAGCGUGAUCGGAGGCAGCCACAUACAGUAGUAGUGGGGUGUCUGGCUCAGGCACUGUCACAACCAGGUUGGUUGCAAUGUAAUUUUUUAGAUGCCUGAAGGCCUCUGAUUGUUCCGGACCCCAUUCUGUUUUACCUUCUCCUCUCAACACUUUGAAGAAUGGGAGGCUCCGUUCUGCCGAUCUUGAGAUGAAUCUGUUGAGGGCUGCUAUUCGGCCAGUCAGCCUUUGCACUUCUUUCUUGUUUGAAGGUUCUGCCAUUGACAUGAUUGCUUUUGUUUUGUCUGGGUUAGCUCUGAUUCCUUCGGAGCUGAUGAUAUAUCCCAGCAUUUUUCCUUUGCUGACCCCGAACACACACUUCUCCGGGUUAAGUUUCAGCCCGGCAGAUCUAAGGUUGACGAAGGUUUUCUGCAGGUCCUUGAUAUGAUCUUCCUUGCGCUUGCUCAUUACGACAACAUCGUCGACGUAGGCUAUGAUGUUUCUCUGUAGCUGACUUCCUAGAACCUUCCCCAUCAUUCUGGAGAAGGUUGCUCCAGCGUUUUUGAGACCUUCUGGCAUUCUGGUGUAGCAAUACGUGCCUAAUGGGGUUGUGAAGCUUGCCUUUCCUUCGUCUUCUUUUUUGAGCCAAAUUUGGUGGUAACCAGAGAAACAGUCCAGCAGUGAGAAUCUCUGACAACCAGCUGCUUUGUCCACAGAGGUAUCUAUCCUUGGCAAGGGGAAGGAGUCUUUGACACAAGCCUUGUUGAGAUCCGUAAAAUCUAUGCACAUUCUCAUUUUGCCAUUUUUCUUGGGGACCAGGACCACAUUUGCCAACCAUUCCGGGUAUAUGACCUCUCUGAUGACCUUUGCGUCCAGGAGUCUUUGUACCUCUGCCUUCGCGGCUAAGGUUCUUUCUUCAGACAUUUUUCUCUGUCUCUGCUUCUUCGGCCUCAUCCUCGGAUCAAUGUCCAGCGAAUGCUCUAUUAUGUCUCUGCUGACUCCUUGUAGGUCAGCGGCACUCCAAGCGAAGAUAUCUUGGUUCUUUUGCAACACGUCUAGCAAUUCGAGUUCCUCCUCUCUACCAAGGGUGGCGGAGAUGGUGACUUUCUUAUCUGGAACAGCUUCCUGCAGAGGGACACAUUUCGUUUCCUCCUGAUCAGCCAGGUCUGUUUUCCCCCUUGGCAUGUCUGGUGGCUGGGAAGCUUCAUGCUGCGUAGAGUCUACGGAGUUUAUGUUCCGGAAGGACUUGUAGAUUGCUUUCUCUAUGUUCCUUGCCUCCUUUUGACUUCCGUGAACCGUUAUCACUCCGUGCAGAGCCGGGAUUUUCAUGCACAGGUAUCCCAUAUGAGCGGCCGCAUUGAACUUGUUCAAGAAUCCUCGCCCGAAUAUGGCAUUAUAUGGGUAGUGCAAGUCUACCACAUUGAAGGUGACGUACUCUGUUCUUGCGUUCUCCGUUGUGCCGAAGGAUACGGGCAAGGCGACCUUCCCCAGAGCAUGUAUCUGCUUUCCUCCGAACCCGAUCAAAGGUGACUCCGAAGGUUGGAGUUGGCUUCUACUGAGGUUCAUUUGGUCAAAGGUUCCAGCAAAUAUUAUGUCUGCGGAACUCCCUGAAUCCACUAAGAUCCUGCUUACUCCCCAACCCGCAACAUUUGUUGUUAUGACCAAGGCGUCUGUGUGAGGGUAGCUUUCCAAUCUUAGAUCUUCCUCGGUGAAGGUUAUUGGGGUUCUGGACCAAUCAGUGCAUCUCACUGGCCCUUGAACUGCAACGUUGUUGACGAGCCUGAGGUGAUCCUUCUUCUGCUUCUUUGUCUGGAACUCCAUUGAAGACCCCCCAGCUAUUGGUAAGAUCAUUCCAAUCGUGGGCAGGGGUGUAUGAGGGCCGAUCUGAUUAUCAGGGUGGGGUUCGGUUUUUGGUGGUGGUGGGGCUUGGAGUAGCUGUAGCUGGUUUGGGGGAGGAGGUAGUGACUGCUGGUGGGGUUGCGGGGUUUCGAUGUACGUAAUGUGUGGAGGUCGUGGAGGAACAUAGUUUGGUGGAAGGUUGUGGUCCGCGGUUUGCUGGGCUGGGCGCCAAGCUGGUAGGAAGGUGGGAUAGUAAGCGGAGGCUAGCGCGCUGGGCUGAAGUGGAGCUGGGUGCUGCUGGCUUGAACCUCCGACAUAUGAAUGGUAGAAGGUUUGAGGGAAUGUGUGAUUUACUUCCCGAGGUUGAGCAACUGGUAUCGGAGGUUGCGGAGCUGACCUGCUCUUGAUCCUCUCCUGAGUUUCUUUUGCAUCUGGGCAAUCUCUGGUGGAGUGACCCUUCUCCUCUCCAUGGAAGAAACAAUACUGUUUCCGUGGUCGCUGACUUUGAUUUUUUCGCCAUCCCGCAUUUCGACCCCCUCUUCCGGCUUGAUUGGGUAUGCGUUCCGAGCUUCGCGCUUCCGCUGGCGGACGGUUAUUUUCCGGCCUGUCAUUUUUCGGUUGCUCGAUAUUCAUCAUCUGUCCACCAGCCUCUCGCUGUGGCCGGCGUUCAUCCUGGCUGAGGUUCUUCUUCUGUGGGUUUCUAUCAUUGCUCUGCCUCUUCUGAGAGUUUUGGUCUUCCAACCUUUUGCGGUAGUCGUUGUCUGACCUGCAAUACUUCUCAAACUCGUGGUACAGCUCGUGCAUGGAUGCUGGCUUUUCUCUGGCCAAAUGGGUCGCGAAGGGCCCUAUGCGAAGACCCUUGAUGGCCGCUUCAAUGGCAACCUCCUCCGGCACGCCGGGUGCUCUUGCCUUAGUCUGUACGAACCUUUGGAAGUACUCCCGCAGUGCCUCUCCCUGACUCUGGCGACACUGGAACAAGUCCGUGGAGGUCAGUGAUUCAACUGCGAAUCCCUGGAAAUUCGCUAAAAUCUUAUCUCGAAGGUUCUCCCAUGAAUAGAUUGACCCGGGUCUCAGCAUUGAGUACCAUGCCAGGGCAUCUCCCUCGGCUGCGAUCACGAAGGAUUUUGCCAUCACAGUCUCGUUCCCUCCAGCUGAGGCCACGGCUGCCUCGAAACUCAUCAGGAACUGGCGCGGAUCGGCCUUUCCGCUGAAUUUAGGGAGCGUGAUAGGUUUGUAGGUUGUUGGCCAAGGCGAGGUCUGCAAUCCUUCGGACAAAGGGGAGCGAAGGUCCGACGUGCCCCGCAGCAUGCCACCGUAGUUUGUCGGUUGCACAUCUAAUGUUGGGCCGGCGCUGUUCGGAACAGCGGGCUGAAUUGUCGGCUGAGGUGGAGGUUGCAUGCUAAGGAUUUCUGCCUGCAGGAAUGAAAGCUGCUGCCUGAUCUCGGCCGCUUGCGUCGCGGCUACCGCUGCCUCUUGGCUGGCGGCGUAGGCAGCAGCGAUCCGGUCUCGCUCUUGCUGAAGGUUCUGCAAUUGCGUUUGCAGCUGCUGGAGCUCUUGCGCGGCCGUCGGUUGCGCCGGGUCUGCGGCGGGGGGAGGUUCCUGGCGUGUUUCCGGCUGCUCGUUCUCUGGCUGCUCGCCCUCAGAACCUUCUCCCUCCACGGUCGCGUACGUGCUUCGCACGGCCCUCCUCGGCCUUCCUCUCCUGGAGGGCUCUGCCCGAGGUCUUGUGGUGCUUGUUCUCUUUCCAGCCAUCGCGGGUUAUACUUCGGGGGCCCCACGGUGGGCGCCAAUGUUGGGGAGAUGCUCUCCGCACUCCCCAGCAGUACGGUGGAUAGUGAACCUUCUCACUCGAUGCCGUGAGAGGUCUGAGCUCCAACGGGCAGUAGGCUCAACAGUAGGUGAAAACAGUGAAUGCUCUCUCUUCGUUUAUUAAUGGCGGUAUCGCGCCCCUUAUAUAGGGCCUGGAAACCGAUCUAAUGGCAUUUACAUAAAUGCCCCGUGACGGUGGGGGAAUAUUCCAGUAUAUUCUUUCAUCGCAGUCUACUGACCCUAAUACACCUGCGUAAUUUCACAUUAAGCCCCUCGUUCAUCCUCUGACUGGGGCCUCAGCUGGUCGGAGGCUUGGAUCCUCCGCCCAGUUGCGGAUCCUCCGACGCUUUGGUGUCGGAGGUUCCUCGGCCCGGCUGGGCCGGAGGUUGCUCGACCCGGCCACCCCAGGAGCUCCUCCUUAGCCUGGUCCAGUCGGAGGUUCCUCGGCCUGGCUGCGUUCUCGCCAUCCUCGGACCCGGGAAGGUCGGAGGUUCCCCCCCUUUCCUUGUUUGUGGGCCUCCGCCGGUGUCUCAGUCCCUGCACACACUUAGCACGACCAGACGAGUCGUCAACAUUAGUAUUUUCCAGUGAAGGAUAUCCUUCGACGCUUCAGGCGUCGGAGGUUCCUUGGGUGAAGGAUAACCUUCGACGCUACCAGGGGGAAGGAUGCAGCUGUUCCCCAACAAAAGACUUUUACAGAUUCGAAAAAAAACAAAGACUUUUACAGGGAGCAUAUUCAACCAACCUUGUCACUAUAAUACAUAUCCAAACUGCAGAUCUAGAAAUGAAGAGCCGAAGUCACAUGGAAAUGGAAUUGCACACAUAACCUCUCUCUCAGUCAGCAAAAGAAGUGAACAAAGUUUGUCUGAACAAACUGUUUUCUGUUUUCAUGCAGAUUCAUACCAACUCACGAUUAGGAUUUACUCUCGUCGCACUUUUCUUGUAUGCUAUAUUCAUGACAUCAGCAGAUCAAGUUUCUUUUAGAUGUGUGCUAUACAAAGUGCGACAAAACUUGCUUUUGCAGCCUAACUGUAUAAAGAUUUAAAAACUUAUGCUAUAUGAAGAGUCUAGAACUACUGUAUGUAUGCCUGCCUUUCGCAUAUACAACAAAUACUGUUCACUGAUUUAUUAUGAGAGAAAAAUACUGCUGGCCGGAAGAAAAAAUACGGUUUAUAAGACAAGCGAACAGAAAUUCCUUCGACAGUGUCCUUUCCUACCGUGAAGCAGAAAUUCUAAACAGCUGAUAUGCACCAAGCUAACCAUGUGUCCUUCGACAGUGCCCUUUCCGACCGUUAAGCAAAAUUCUAAACAGCUGAUAUGCAAUGUCUCAGAAUUACCAGGCGCCAUAUAGAUGUACAGUCAGUUAGUCCACAAGGAACUGUUCCUGCAAGAUCUGUGUAAUUAUGGUCUGGACAGCGGUACUACUAUUCAUGGUAGCCAAUGUACAAAAGCACUGUGUGUAGCCAGUUGUCAUAUGCAAUGUUUAAACCGCCGCCAUCAGUGGCGGACGGACGGGGGGCUGGGGGGGCUGCAGCCCCCCUCGUGGGCCGAAUUUGUUUAGAGCAGGUAUUCAGUCCGGCCCAAAAAUAGUUAACCCUAGAAAAAAAACUCGACGCUCUCGCUCGCAUCCCUCGCGCGCCGCUCGCCCGCGACAGCGCGACCUGCGCUCGCCCUCGCCCGCUCUACCGCCGCCGCCCGCCGCCGCCGCCGGCUCUUCCUCUGCGGCUCUGCCCCUCCCCUCUCCGGCUCUCCACGCGGCCGCCACCGGCCUCCGCGGACCACGCCGACGCGCGCCCGCGCCGACCGCCGGGAGCCCGAGACAGCGACUCAGCGACAGCGAGGGAGGCCAGCCCCCAACCGGCAGCCGGCCAGCCAGCGCCCAGCGGCCGCGCGGGGCGCCCACGGCCACCGCCCACCAGUGCCAGGCUGCCAGCCAGUGGCCAGCGCCCACCACUGCCCUAGCCCCUAGGGUUACGCAGUAACGCAAGCAAGGUGAGAAGAUGAAGAUCCCUCUAUUUUUUUCAUUACUGAAUACUAACUACUGACUAGAUUUACAUUGAGGCCAUUACUGAUUUACUCAUUGGUUUGAAUUUGUAGAAUGGAAAAAUAUUUUUCUAAGAAAGAUGAUUCCAGUAAAGAGUGUCGAGUUGAGAAAAAAGACCCCGUAUUGAGCUUGAUAUGAAUGAUAUAGUUGCUGAUCCAGGUCUUAGAAAGCCAAUUGAUGAAUUUCCUCAAGGUCCCAAGGUGCGUAUUGUUUUAAUACUUUUCUUUUUACUUGUUAUCUUGAUUAUUGAAGAAGUGUAUGACAUUUGCAAAUUAUGUAGCAUUGAGGGUGGCGGUUCAAGUCGUAUUGGUUCAAGUGGUGCCAAUUCUUAAGCUGGAAGACUCCUUGUAUUUGGUACUUUUCUAUCCUUAAUUCUAUGUAUCUUUGACUUUAACUACUUUGAAUCCAUAUCACAUUAUCAAUCUAGGUUAUAUCUACUAGUAUACUGUGUCUACCGAGCAAAAUUUUUUGUUCGCCUUGUUCUUUAGCCCCCCUUGGUCCGUUUCUAGAUCCGCCACUGGCCGCCAUGUAUACCAAGGUUAUCCAAUCGUCCUCACCGUCUGACAUUUUAUAGAUUAUUUAUAUAACAUAUAUACCCUCUUAAUCCUUUUGCAAUCCAGAUAUCGACCAUGUAUGCUUCACAGCAGCAUCAACCAUCCAAAUGGCCACAGUAUAUGAAGAGAUGAAAAACAGCUGUUGGUGUUUCAUACAGUUUGUGUACAUAUAUAUAAUUUGGAGGCAAGAAGCAAGUGAGUUUGUACGCCCUUGGAGAACGAACGCAAGGCAAGUCUAUGACCUCAUCACAGCGACACAGGAGGCACCAUACAUAGGUCAUCUGUGAGCACUGAGCACCGCUGGUGUGGGAUCCUCCUCAUGCCUUCCACCACGGGUCCUCGCCGGUCCUGAAGUCGGUCUCCACCCACGGGACGAAGAGGACCUUGCCGUCGUCGACGUCGGCGUGAACCAGCGCCAGCGACUGUUCACAGAAGAGCAGCGCCGAAGCAGAUCAGUUUCAGUUGAAACGCAACACAAUCAGCUGCAGACUUCCAGUUUAGAAGAAAAUGAAAUUAUUGGGUGCGUUUGUUUUUAUACCAGAGGCGCCGGUCCACGGACCACCUUGCCCUGGUUGUUGUACUGGGAUCCAUGGCAGGGGCAGAUGAACUUGUUCUCGGCGCCGUUCCACGGCACGACGCAGCCGAGGUGAGUGCACACGGCGUUGAUCCCGUAG
Molecule: long non-coding RNA, 11041 nt
Filed under: Sorghum bicolor (sorghum)
Lineage: Eukaryota; Viridiplantae; Streptophyta; Magnoliopsida; Poales; Poaceae
Description: long non-coding RNA (SBIC_LNC016646)
Source: RNAcentral